CCUACGGGUGGCUGCAGUGGGGAAUAUUGGACAAUGGGCGAAAGCCUGAUCCAGCCAUGCCGCGUGUGUGAAGAAGGCCUUCGGGUUGUAAAGCACUUUCAGUGGGGAAGAAAGCCUUGGGGCUAAUACCCUCGAGGAAGGACAUCACCCACAGAAGAAGCACCGGCUAACUCCGUGCCAGCAGCCGCGGUAAUACGGAGGGUGCGAGCGUUAAUCGGAAUUACUGGGCGUAAAGCGCGCGUAGGCGGUCUGAUAAGCCGGUUGUGAAAGCCCCGGGCUCAACCUGGGAACGGCAUCCGGAACUGUCAGGCUAGAGUGCAGGAGAGGAAGGUAGAAUUCCCGGUGUAGCGGUGAAAUGCGUAGAGAUCGGGAGGAAUACCAGUGGCGAAGGCGGCCUUCUGGACUGACACUGACGCUGAGGUGCGAAAGCGUGGGUAGCAAACAGGAUUAGAUACACAGUAGUC
Molecule: ribosomal RNA, 464 nt
Filed under: Vreelandella stevensii
Lineage: Bacteria; Pseudomonadati; Pseudomonadota; Gammaproteobacteria; Oceanospirillales; Halomonadaceae
Description: partial 16S ribosomal RNA
Rfam family: Bacterial small subunit ribosomal RNA
Source: RNAcentral